Gossypium raimondii (Peruvian cotton) is the source of this 141-nucleotide non-coding RNA. The record is from Rfam. Lineage: Eukaryota; Viridiplantae; Streptophyta; Magnoliopsida; Malvales; Malvaceae.
UUGUAAAAAUUUCAUCCAUUUGUACUAUUAAAAACUACUGUUGAUGAUGAAAUAAUCAGAAAGUGACACAUUAUCACGUGUACAUCAUGCUGACGUAUGGGGAUCAGUUUUUAACAAUAAAAAUGGAUGUAAUUUUCACAG